AUUGAACGCUGGCGGCAUGCUUUACACAUGCGAGUCGAACGGCAGCGCGGGCUUCGUCCUGUCGGCGAGUGGCGAACGGGUGAGUAAUACAUCGGAACGUGCCCAGUACUGGGGGAUAGCGCGGCGAAGGCCGGAUUAAUACCGCAUACGACCUGAGGGUGAAACCGGGGGAUGUUGGGACCUGGCGGGUUGGGAGCAGCCGUAGGCAAAUUAGCUAGUUGGGGGGGUAAAGGCGUACCAAGGCGACGAUCUGUAGCGGGUCUGAGAGGACGACCAGCCACACUGGGACUGGGACACGCCCCAGCCUCCUACGGGAGGCAGCAGUGGGGAAUUUUGGACAAUGGGCGAAAGCCUGAUCCAGAAAUGCCGCGUGUGUGAUGAAGGCCUUCGGGUUGUAAAGCCCUUUUGGCGGGAACGAAAAGGACUGUGCCAAUACCACGGUUCGAUGACGGUACCCGAAGAAUAAGCCCCGGCUAACUACGUG
RNAcentral lists this ribosomal RNA (484 nucleotides) under uncultured bacterium. RNAcentral's name for it is "partial 16S ribosomal RNA". It matches the Rfam family "Bacterial small subunit ribosomal RNA", at positions 29 to 507 of the family's 1533-position model. The record is from RNAcentral.